RNAcentral lists this ribosomal RNA (1061 nucleotides) under uncultured bacterium. Its description in RNAcentral is "bacterial SSU rRNA". It matches the Rfam family "Bacterial small subunit ribosomal RNA", at positions 75 to 1134 of the family's 1533-position model. The record is from RNAcentral.
AGUGCUUGCACUUUGCUGACGAGUGGCGGACGGGUGAGUAAUGCUUGGGAACUUGCCUUUGCGAGGGGGAUAACAGUUGGAAACGACUGCUAAUACCGCAUAAUGUCUACGGACCAAACGGGGCUUAGGCUUCGGCGCAGAGAGAGGCCCAAGUGAGAUUAGCUAGUUGGUGGGGUAAAGGCUCACCAAGGCGACGAUCUCUAGCUGUUCUGAGAGGAAGAUCAGCCACACUGGGACUGAGACACGGCCCAGACUCCUACGGGAGGCAGCAGUGGGGAAUAUUGCACAAUGGGGGGAACCCUGAUGCAGCCAUGCCGCGUGUGUGAAGAAGGCCUUCGGGUUGUAAAGCACUUUCAGUUGUGAGGAAAAGUGAGUAGUUAAUACCUGCUCACCGUGACGUUAACAACAGAAGAAGCACCGGCUAACUCCGUGCCAGCAGCCGCGGUAAUACGGAGGGUGCGAGCGUUAAUCGGAAUUACUGGGCGUAAAGCGCACGCAGGCGGUUUGUUAAGCUAGAUGUGAAAGCCCCGAGCUCAACUUGGGAUGGUCAUUUAGAACUGGCAGACUAGAGUCUUGGAGAGGGGGAGUGGAAUUCCAGGUGUAGCGGUGAAAUGCGUAGAUAUCUGGAGGAACAUCAGUGGCGAAGGCGACUCCCUGGCCAAAGACUGACGCUCAUGUGCGAAAGUGUGGGUAGCGAACAGGAUUAGAUACCCUGGUAGUCCACACCGUAAACGCUGUCUACUAGCUGUUUGUGGCUUUAAGUCGUGAGUAGCGAAGCUAACGCGAUAAGUAGACCGCCUGGGGGAGUACGGCCGCAAGGUUAAAACUCAAAUGAAUUGACGGGGGCCCGCACAAGCGGUGGAGCAUGUGGUUUAAUUCGAUGCAACGCGAAGAACCUUACCUACACUUGACAUGCAGAGAACUUUCUAGAAGAUAGAUUGGUGCCUUCGGGAACUCUGACACAGGUGCUGCAUGGCUGUCGUCAGCUCGUGUCGUGAAAUGUUUGGGUUAAGUCCCGCAACGAGCGCAACCCUUGUCCUUAGUUGCCAGCAUUCAGUUGG